This 430-nucleotide ribosomal RNA is filed under the name Chryseobacterium sp. O-TRP2:3-2. RNAcentral describes it as "bacterial SSU rRNA". It matches the Rfam family "Bacterial small subunit ribosomal RNA", at positions 51 to 478 of the family's 1533-position model. The record is from RNAcentral. Lineage: Bacteria; Pseudomonadati; Bacteroidota; Flavobacteriia; Flavobacteriales; Weeksellaceae.
ACACAUGCCAAGCCGAGCGGAAGGAGAUUCUUCGGAAUCUUGCAGAGCGGCGCACGGGUGCGGAACACGUGUGCAACCUACCUUUAUCAGGGGGAUAGCCUUUCGAAAGGAAGAUUAAUACCCCAUAAUAUAUUGAAUGGCAUCAUUUAAUAUUGAAAACUCCGGUGGAUAGAGAUGGGCACGCGCAAGAUUAGAUAGUUGGUGAGGUAACGGCUCACCAAGUCAAUGAUCUUUAGGGGGCCUGAGAGGGUGAUCCCCCACACUGGUACUGAGACACGGACCAGACUCCUACGGGAGGCAGCAGUGAGGAAUAUUGGACAAUGGGUGAGAGCCUGAUCCAGCCAUCCCGCGUGAAGGACGACGGCCCUAUGGGUUGUAAACUUCUUUUAUACUGGGAUAAACCUACUUACGUGUAAGUAGCUGAAGGUAC